RNAcentral lists this long non-coding RNA (1092 nucleotides) under Arabidopsis lyrata. RNAcentral describes it as "long non-coding RNA (ALYR_LNC002934)". The record is from RNAcentral. Lineage: Eukaryota; Viridiplantae; Streptophyta; Magnoliopsida; Brassicales; Brassicaceae.
AAAAGUGUUAAAUUAAGAGGUAACCUGGUUCGACGAAAGGGAGACUAAUCGAUCGAGAUCAUCCUGAGCCUGAGGAGACGUUUUUUCAUGAUCACAGCCAUGAAAACACAUUCUAGCUUUGUCUCUCUCAUCGUUGUCCUCUUUCCCGCUGUCGCAUCCUUGGCCGUCUUGGUGCUCUGCUUGGCCGUCGGUGAAAGCGUUUCGGUGGCCCGUCGUUGGCCGGAUUUGAAAUCGUUUGGAUUGAGUGAAUAUGAGUCACAACAGAGGAUGGAGAUCAAUUACGAAACGAGAUCAAUCUUACGGAGAAGAGAUAAUGAAAGAGGGAAGAAUUCUUUUGUUAUGGUUCCGAAGAAGAAGAGAAGAGAGAAAGAGUGAAUUUUGAUGUCUCAAGGAAGAAGAGAGAAUGAGUGAUGUUGGAGGUUAGCAUUCUCUCAGGCGUUUAUUUAUAAGCAUUAGCUUCUUCCAAAAAAAGGAAACUUUCGAUUGUUUCCUUUUUUCGAUGAGUUUUGUUAUUUCCUUUUUUUUUUGUAAACUUUAGAUUGUUUCCUUUUUACAAUAUUGGGCUCCAACAGGAUCAAUACCCGAUUUGAGAACAAGAAGAAGAAGCAAGUUUUGCCUUCUUUGAAGCCUCUACUAUUUGAGAUAGUCUAUCUCUGGAAUUAUGUUCCUCCUAAUGCAGAACCUGUCUAUCUCUGGAAUUAUCUUAUACGAGAUUGUGUUUAUUUCGUGGUCUAGCCCCUGUUUUGAAGAACCCAUCUUGUUUAGAGUGUUUGUGUUUGGUUCUCUUCUUCUCUUGAUCUAUGUUCAUGUAAUCACAAAUGUAUGCUGUUUGGUUAGUCGGAAACAGAGUAAGAAGACAUCAGACAAUUGACAUUUCGAAUACAGAGAGGUAAAUCAUCUUUUUUAAACUUGAAAACCAAAGUAGGACUAGUAAUUUGCACAAAAUUACUCUCAGAAUCAGUAGUAAACAACAAAAACUCUUUAACCUAACUAUAUUUUUUUUUUUUCUCUCCACAAGAACAUAUUCAACCGCCUAUACAAGACAAUAUUCAAACACAGACAAACCACAUGGGUUUUGCAAACCUUCGAAUU